CAGCCGCCGCGGGAAAACGGAGGGAGCUAGCGUUGUUCGGAAUCACUGGGCGUAAAGCGCACGUAGGCGGCUAUUCAAGUCAGGGGUGAAAGCCCGGGGCUCAACCCCGGAACUGCCUUUGAAACUAGAUAGCUUGAAUCUUGGAGAGGCGAGUGGAAUUCCGAGUGUAGAGGUGAAAUUCGUAGAUAUUCGGAGGAACACCAGUGGCGAAGGCGACUCGCUGGACAAGUAUUGACGCUGAGGUGCGAAAGCGUGGGGAGCAAACAGGAUUAGAUACCCCGGUAGUCCCUGUCUCUUAUAC
This 301-nucleotide ribosomal RNA is filed under the name uncultured bacterium. RNAcentral describes it as "partial 16S ribosomal RNA". It matches the Rfam family "Bacterial small subunit ribosomal RNA", at positions 509 to 807 of the family's 1533-position model. The record is from RNAcentral.